Molecule: long non-coding RNA, 927 nt
Organism: Uranotaenia lowii
Lineage: Eukaryota; Metazoa; Arthropoda; Insecta; Diptera; Culicidae
Exons: 3
Source: RefSeq, a predicted model, not a curated record
AAAAUUAGCACUUUGAAAACAUUCAUCUUUCAUCUUUCGGCCCGAGUGGGAGCAAAAUUCUCUGUCCAGGAGCAAAAAGUAAAUUUUCAAGAACCGAUCAAUCAUCAUGCCGUACAUUUGCCGUCAUGUGAUUCACUGUGGACCAUAUAGUCGACCAAUGCCAGGACCCCUUUAUGGACCAAACAGAGGUAUCUGUGGACCCGGCAUGCCUACCAUAUUUCCCUGCAGUCGGGAUACACCUUGUGGCCCCAUUUCCCGUCCAUGUUGGGGACCGAAUGGGCCAUGUAACAGAAUCGAAUACUACGAUCGCUAAAGAAAAUAAAUAAUCCAACUUACCUCAUCAACUCGAAACUGAUGCAGAGAUGAUUCCGGAAGUAGAAGUAAUCUAGCAUGUGAAUCACAUUGUACGAUCCAUCGGCAUCCUUUUUCCUCAGCUCGUCCAGUAUCCGCACCUCGACGAGGGCCUGAUGGUGGAAGCGCUUCUUGUUGCGGAUGAUUUUGAUUGCCACGUGUUGAUUGGUUUUGUGGUCCAGGGCCCUAAUGACCUGACCGAAACUGCCCUUUCCUAUAACUUCCAGGAUUUCGUACCGGUAGCAGAUGUGAUCGUGGAUGACUUUGUUGUAGCUACCGUUAUCGUCAUCGUAGCCGGAAUUCAGCGACGUUCCCGGUUUGGCGUUGAUUUUGCAGGCAUCCAGACCCAGAUAGUACACUUCCGGGUACUUUUCGAUUUCCUGCUUUUCGUAGUCCGUCAGCCGGGUGCCGUGGUAUUUGAGGGCUUCUGAAAGGUAGAAGAGAAAAAACAGCAUAUUCAGAAAACGAACUAGUGACAGAGUUCGAUAAAAAAAAACAGUUUUCCAUUAUAAAAAAAUUAAGCUUUUGUAAAAAGUUCUCCUGAAUGUGACAAAACAAUCGGAAACAAUAAUUCAG